RNAcentral lists this ribosomal RNA (440 nucleotides) under uncultured bacterium. RNAcentral's name for it is "partial 16S ribosomal RNA". It matches the Rfam family "Bacterial small subunit ribosomal RNA", at positions 338 to 795 of the family's 1533-position model. The record is from RNAcentral.
CCUACGGGGGGCAGCAGUGAGGAAUAUUGGGCAAUGGAGGCAACUCUGACCCAGCCAUGCCGCGUGAGGGACGAAGGUUUUCGGAUUGUAAAGCUCUUUUGGAUGUGACGUUGAUGACGGUAGCACCUAAAGAAGCUCCGGCGAACUUCGUGCCAGCAGCCGCGGUAAUAUGCAGGGGGCACGCGUUGUACGGAUUUACUGGGCGUAAAGGGAGUGUAGGCGGUGUAGUAAGAUAGGAGUGAAAUCCCAGAGCUUAACUUUGGAAUUGCCCUUAUAACUAUUAGACUAGACUUACAGAGAGGAUAGUGGAAUACCCGGUGUAGAGGUGAAAUUCGUAGAUAUUGGGUAGAACACCAGUGGCGAAGGCGACUAUCUGGCUGUAAAUUGACGCUGAGGCUCGAAAGCAUGGGGAUCAAACAGGAUUAGAUACCCUAGUAGUC